This 712-nucleotide long non-coding RNA is filed under the name Heterocephalus glaber (naked mole-rat). RNAcentral describes it as "lncRNA (ENSHGLG00100033996.1)". Lineage: Eukaryota; Metazoa; Chordata; Mammalia; Rodentia; Bathyergidae. The record is from RNAcentral.
UGGGAACAUGUGGUCAACAUGUGGGAACAUGUGGAAGAUAUGGGCCUGGGCACCUGAGCGUGUGUAUGUAUGUGUGUGUGUGCUUGUGCACUGGCACUCAGAUGCUUGUGCAAGACAGGCACCCAGAGAGGCAUGGGCUGAGAUGGGGAGGAAGGAGGAGCACACACUAAGGUGGCCAGACCCAGAAGGAUCCUGAGGGCUUCCUGAAGAGGAUGGCCUUCCUGCCGAAGAUGGCUUAGAGUUUGCAUGAAGACAUUAAAGCCCCUCCUCUAUCCUAUACUUCAUAGCCACGUCAUGGCUCCUGUCCCUCUGGAGGCUGCUCUACCACAGGAAGACAAGCGCUGCUCCUAUCUUCACCGACUUCUCUCCCCAAAGAAACAGACAACCUGGUGGGAAAACAGCAUCACCCCAACUUGGAGCAGCUGGGAGGGACCUGGACCACCAUUCUGCCCCAGGCCCCUCUGCCAUUCUGCAGGAGCACGUUUUGCAGGAUGUGAGAGAAGUGUGCAUCCUGCGAGGAGCUUGAACCCUCACAGGAUUGACUCCUUUGACUGGAAGCCAUGAGGACAGCAAGAACUUGUUGAGGAUCAGAAGCCUUCAAAUCUCCAGUGCUGGAAAAUAGAGUGCCCGCUGUCUUGAUCUUUGAAGCAGUCCUAACAACUACCAGGCACAGCAGACAGUGAUCCAGAGAUGAGGAUGGGGAUGAUGACAG